GCGGGUGUACGCCACCGGCAGACCAUCGGGCUCAUAACCCGAGAGCAGCAGGUUCAAUUCCUGCCCCCGCA
Molecule: transfer RNA, 71 nt
Filed under: Paraburkholderia sediminicola
Lineage: Bacteria; Pseudomonadati; Pseudomonadota; Betaproteobacteria; Burkholderiales; Burkholderiaceae
Description: Burkholderia sediminicola tRNA
Rfam family: tRNA
About the family: Transfer RNA (tRNA) molecules are approximately 80 nucleotides in length. Their secondary structure includes four short double-helical elements and three loops (D, anti-codon, and T loops).
Source: Rfam by way of RNAcentral